Molecule: non-coding RNA, 123 nt
Organism: Gossypium raimondii (Peruvian cotton)
Lineage: Eukaryota; Viridiplantae; Streptophyta; Magnoliopsida; Malvales; Malvaceae
Source: Rfam
CAUUAGAGAAUGACAAAUUAGAUUUUUCUUUCUAAUUUUUAACUUUUUUCUCCUGAUAAAAUUUAAAUUCAAUUAAAAAUGCUAAAAAUCAAGAGAAAAAAUUUGAUUUGUCAUUCUCUCAUU